This 298-nucleotide small RNA is filed under the name Colobus angolensis palliatus. RNAcentral's name for it is "Metazoan signal recognition particle RNA (ENSCANG00000006268.1)". It matches the Rfam family "Metazoan signal recognition particle RNA". Rfam says of the family: The signal recognition particle (SRP) is a universally conserved ribonucleoprotein. It is involved in the co-translational targeting of proteins to membranes. The record is from RNAcentral. Lineage: Eukaryota; Metazoa; Chordata; Mammalia; Primates; Cercopithecidae.
GCUGGGUGCAGUGGCUCUUACCUGUAAUCCCAGCACUUUGGAAGGCUGAGGCAGGAGGAUCACUUGAGCUCUGGAAUUUUUAGACUGGGCUGUGCGACAUAGUGAGACCCUGUCUCUACAAAAAAAUUUUUUUAAUUGUGUAGCUGGGACUACAGGCAUGGUGGCAUGCUCCUGUAGUCCCAGCUACUCAGGGAGGCUGAAGCAGGAGAAUCACUUGAACCCACAAGUCUGAGGUUGCAGUGAACUAUGAUUGCGCCACUGCAGUCCAGCCAGGGCAACAGAGCAAGAGCUUGUCUCU